RNAcentral lists this transfer RNA (65 nucleotides) under Dipodomys ordii (Ord's kangaroo rat). It matches the Rfam family "tRNA". From Rfam's summary of the family: Transfer RNA (tRNA) molecules are approximately 80 nucleotides in length. Their secondary structure includes four short double-helical elements and three loops (D, anti-codon, and T loops). The record is from Rfam by way of RNAcentral. Lineage: Eukaryota; Metazoa; Chordata; Mammalia; Rodentia; Heteromyidae.
GGUGGCUCAGUGGUAGAGCACCUGCCUUGCAUGCAUGAGGCCCUAGGUUCAAUUCGCCAGCACCA